GGAGAGGAGAGGUGGAGGAAAGAGAUAUUUUAAGUUGCUUGCGUAGGGUGAAAAUAGCGGGAGAGAGAAUGAGGAGAAAGAGACUUUCUUUUGUUUGACAACCAAGAGAGUUUCAAGGAAAAAACAAAUUAGUUCUUGAAAGUUAAAACUGCUGUUGUAUCCUUCAUUUUUUUUUUUUAACCAGAAUAUAUCCAUCAUUCAUUUAUAAGCUAUAAUGCAUUAUGAUUGAUCACAUCAGAGUAACAUAAUAAAGGAGAAUACCACAAAAUAAAUAAAUAAAUAAAGCAGUUUUGUUCAGAAUAUAACCAGAUUUUUUUUUUUUAAUUUCUAUCAAUUUUUGCAGUGUGUUUGGAGAUGCCUUGCAACAUAUGGCUAAUUAUACAAAAACCCUAAUUAGAUUUUUG
Molecule: unclassified non-coding RNA, 404 nt
Filed under: Hevea brasiliensis (rubber tree)
Lineage: Eukaryota; Viridiplantae; Streptophyta; Magnoliopsida; Malpighiales; Euphorbiaceae
Source: RNAcentral